Molecule: transfer RNA, 86 nt
Filed under: Labilithrix sp.
Lineage: Bacteria; Pseudomonadati; Myxococcota; Polyangiales; Labilitrichaceae
Description: tRNA-Leu
Rfam family: tRNA
About the family: Transfer RNA (tRNA) molecules are approximately 80 nucleotides in length. Their secondary structure includes four short double-helical elements and three loops (D, anti-codon, and T loops).
Source: RNAcentral
GGCCCCUUGGCGGAACGGUAUACGCAGGAGAUUUAAAAUCUCUGGCCCGGAAGGGUGUCUCGGUUCGAAUCCGAGAGGGGCUACCA